CGCGCGGUACAUGACUGGCGAUGGAAGGUGGAAGACCACCGGGAAGUGUACCGAGCGCACUCUGUGAGACACAUUGCACACUGGCUGCGAUGUGGCGUAUGAAAAAAUACGGAUUGGACAAGAUAGCCACUCGGUGGAAGUUUUGCCAUUUUUUGCUGAUCGAGUUCGUGGAAUGAAGCCGUUCGCCUGGGCGCCAAAC
This 199-nucleotide non-coding RNA is filed under the name unclassified sequences. RNAcentral's name for it is "pfl RNA". It matches the Rfam family "ZMP/ZTP riboswitch aptamer (pfl RNA motif)". From Rfam's summary of the family: Previously known as pfl RNA. ZMP is also known as AICAR. The record is from RNAcentral.